RNAcentral lists this transfer RNA (73 nucleotides) under Procavia capensis (Cape rock hyrax). RNAcentral's name for it is "tRNA-Lys (TTT) (tRNA-Lys-TTT-11-1)". It matches the Rfam family "tRNA". From Rfam's summary of the family: Transfer RNA (tRNA) molecules are approximately 80 nucleotides in length. Their secondary structure includes four short double-helical elements and three loops (D, anti-codon, and T loops). Lineage: Eukaryota; Metazoa; Chordata; Mammalia; Hyracoidea; Procaviidae. The record is from RNAcentral.
UCCCUGGUAGUCUAGUGGUUAGGAUCUGGUGCUUUUACUGCUAAGGCCCAGGUUCAAUCCCUGGUCAGGGGAA